This 300-nucleotide unclassified non-coding RNA is filed under the name uncultured fungus. RNAcentral describes it as "sequence contains ITS1". The stretch from base 1 to 105 matches the Rfam family "5.8S ribosomal RNA", at positions 50 to 154 of the family's 154-position model. The record is from RNAcentral. Lineage: Eukaryota; Fungi.
AAAAUGCGAUAAGUAGUGUGAAUUGCAGAAUUCAGUAAAUCAUCAAAUCUUUAAACGCACAUUGCGCCCUAUAGUAUUCCGUAGGGCAUGCCUGUUCGAGCGUCAUUUAAACCUUCAAGCUCUGCUUAGUGUUAGGCGUCUGUCCUGCCUUACGGCGCGGACUCGCCUUAAAUCUAUUAGCGGCCGGUACGUUGGCUUCGAGCGCAGCAGAAACGCGAACUCGAGCCCAACAGAUCAGCUCCUAGAAGCUACCCCUAUAAAUUUGACCUCGGAUCAGGUAGAGAUACCCGCUAAACUUAA